AACUUGGAUGAAUGUAUAUCAAUAGAUUGAAAAGAACACCGUUCUAUAAAAUUCUAGAUAGAGCUAUGAAAUGACAUUAUCUAUCUAUUAGUCUUGACCAAGUCACGUGCCAGCAGUCGCGGUAACACGUGGAAGACAAGUGUUAUUCAUGUUUAAUCGGUUUAAAGGGUACCUAGACGGUCUUUCAAGCCUAGUAAAGGGACUGUUGACUUGAGUGUAAUGUGAGAAAAUAGAACGUUGAGUGUAGGGAUGUAAUCCUUUGAUACCACACGGACUGAUAAAGGCGAAGGCAGUUUUCUAUGUAAACACUGACGUUGAGGGACGAAGGCUUUUCAUCACGAAUAGGAUUAGAUACCCUAGUAGUAUAAGCAGAAAAUGAUGAGUGUCAUAUGUAAGAAUGUGCUUUAAAAAAAUUUUUAUUUUUUUAGUUAUGGGCUUAUGCAAUAUUAUUGUGUAAAAAAUUUAUGUAUAAAUGAAAGUGUAAACACUCCACCUCAAGAGUAAUAUGGCAACGUAGAAACUGAAAUCACUAGACCGUGUCUGAAACCAGCAGUGAAGUAUGUUGUUUAAUUUGAUGACCCACGGAAAACCUUACCACAAUUUGUAUAUUUAUAUAUUUAUAUAAUUACAGGCGUUGCACGGCUGUCUUCAGUUAAUGUCGUGAGAUUUUGGUUAGCUCCAUUAAAUUAAUGUAAACCCUUAUUUUAUUUAUCAUAAAAUAUUCCUUCGAGAUAUUUAGAAGUUAUAGUAGG
This 752-nucleotide ribosomal RNA is filed under the name Glomerobolus sp. YG-2023a. RNAcentral's name for it is "SSU rRNA". It matches the Rfam family "Bacterial small subunit ribosomal RNA", at positions 379 to 1177 of the family's 1533-position model. Lineage: Eukaryota; Fungi; Ascomycota; Lecanoromycetes; Ostropales; Stictidaceae. The record is from RNAcentral.